CAAAAGCUUGGUCCUGGCUUUACUAUCAGCUCUAACCAAACUUACACAUGCAAGUCUCCGCACCCCCGUGAGAAUGCCCUCAUCCCCCCGCUCGGGAUCAAGGAGCUGGUAUCAGGCACGCGUUAUCGCAGCCCAAGACACCUUGCUCAGCCACACCCUUAAGGGAGCUCAGCAGUGAUAAACAUUAAGCCAUAAGUGAAAACUUGACUUAGUUAAAGUAAACAAGGGCCGGUAAAACUCGUGCCAGCUACCGCGGUUAUACGAGAGGCCCAAGUUGAUAGAUAUCGGCGUAAAGAGUGGUUAGGGCACAUUAAAACUAAAGCAAAACACCCCCAAGGCUGUUAUACGCACCCGGAGGAAUGAGUAACCACCACGAAAGUGGCUUUACCCCCCCCCCCUGAACCCACAAAAGCUACGGCACAAACUGGGAUUAGAUACCCCACUAUGCCUAGCCCUAAACAUUGAUAGCAGUCCACUGAGCUGUCCGCCUGGGAACUACGAGCAGCAGCUUAAAACCCAAAGGACUUGGCGGUGCUUUAAACCCAUCUAGAGGAGCCUGUUCUAGAACCGAUAAUCCCCGUUCAACCUCACCCCCCCUUGUUUUCCCCGCCUAUAUACCGCCGUCGUCAGCUUACCCUGUGAAGGUAAAAUAGUAAGCAGAAUUGAUAAAAUCCGAAACGUCAGGUCAAGGUGUAGCAUAUGGGAGGGAAAGAAAUGGGCUACAUUCCCUAUCACAGGGAAUACGAAAGAUGUAAUGAAACUUACACCUAAAGGAGGAUUUAGCAGUAAGUAGGAAGUAGAGAGUCCAACUGAAACAGGCCCUAAAGCGCGCACACACCGCCCGUCACUCUCCCCAAACCCACCUAAACGAUAAUUAAUUAGUUAUAACCCUUUAAGGGGAGGCAAGUCGUAACAUGGUAAGUGUACCGGAAGGUGUACUUGGAAAAAU
This 949-nucleotide non-coding RNA is filed under the name Cetostoma regani (pink flabby whalefish). RNAcentral describes it as "12S rRNA". It matches the Rfam family "Bacterial small subunit ribosomal RNA". The record is from RNAcentral. Lineage: Eukaryota; Metazoa; Chordata; Actinopteri; Beryciformes; Cetomimidae.